This 253-nucleotide ribosomal RNA is filed under the name uncultured bacterium. RNAcentral describes it as "partial 16S ribosomal RNA". It matches the Rfam family "Bacterial small subunit ribosomal RNA", at positions 524 to 776 of the family's 1533-position model. The record is from RNAcentral.
UACAGAGGGUGCGAGCGUUAAUCGGAAUUACUGGGCGUAAAGCGUGCGUAGACGGUUAUUUAAGUCGGGUGUGAAAGCCCCGGGCUCAACCUGGGAAUUGCGAUGGAGACUGCAAGGCUUGAAUCUGGCAGAGGGGGGUAGAAUUCCACGUGUAGCAGUGAAAUGCGCAGAUAUCAGGAAGAACACCCGUGGCUAAGGCGGCUCUCUAGUACGGUACUGACGCUGAGACGCGAAAGCGUGGGGAGCGAACAGG